RNAcentral lists this ribosomal RNA (248 nucleotides) under uncultured Eubacterium sp. RNAcentral describes it as "partial 16S ribosomal RNA". It matches the Rfam family "Bacterial small subunit ribosomal RNA", at positions 524 to 771 of the family's 1533-position model. The record is from RNAcentral. Lineage: Bacteria; Bacillati; Bacillota; Clostridia; Eubacteriales; Eubacteriaceae.
UACGUAGGUGGCGAGCGUUGUCCGGAAUUACUGGGUGUAAAGGGAGCGCAGGCGGGACAGCAAGUUGGAUGUGAAAUACCGGAGCUUAACUUCGGAGCUGCAUCCAAAACUGUUGUUCUUGAGUGGAGUAGAGGCAAGCGGAAUUCCGAGUGUAGCGGUGAAAUGCGUAGAUAUUCGGAGGAACACCAGUGGCGAAGGCGGCUUGCUGGGCUCUAACUGACGCUGAGGCUCGAAAGGGUGGGGAGCAA